Medicago truncatula (barrel medic) is the source of this 1128-nucleotide long non-coding RNA. RefSeq lists it as uncharacterized. Lineage: Eukaryota; Viridiplantae; Streptophyta; Magnoliopsida; Fabales; Fabaceae. The transcript has 3 exons. The record is from RefSeq and is a predicted model, not a curated record.
UCCUUCAUUCCUCUACCUUUCUUCACCCACUGCACCCAUCCGCCCACAGUUAGAAAAAUUGAUCGUGUUCAAACAAAAAAAUCAAGAAAUCCUCAAGCCAAUUCAUUGAGACGCACUACUCUCGAAUAACCUUAGAUUCCACACCAAUAAAAAAAAAUACUCGAAGAGGUUCCACUCAUCUCAUGAAGUGGAUCCAGAAAGCGCGGUUUGUUGAAUCUCAUUGGAUCUACAGAAGUGUGGAUGCAUGUGUCCCAUAUGGACUUCGAUCCCAAUGUUUCCCCCAUUAGGAUUGUAAAAAUAUUAUAGCUUUAGCCCUUUGAUUAGUUUGCAAAGCCAUAAAUUUAGAAAAGAUAAAAACCAAAUUAUAACACUACUUAAAGUUAAUAAGACUGAUUAGGCCAUAAGAAGAACUCAACUGAUGAUGUUGGUGGCAUCACAUUGAGUCCUCCAGUUUCUGCUGAUUCUGUAGCGCCAUCAUUGGUAUUAGCAUGAAAAUGCUGAAAGAGGUUGUGGUGAUAGUAAGCCGUAUUCGAGUCAUACAAAAUUCCAUAAGGGAUUGAAGCAAACGAUUGUUGAUGAUAAUUGAUCUCUUUUGAAACCCUAGAUAUGCUCUCCACUUUUGGUAUGGAUGAAAUUUCUAAUUUAGAAUGAUUUUGUUUCGUAGAUCCCCUUCAAUCGUGGCGGCAACAACAACAUCAUGAGAUGCAAGAAGGUUGGUCUAUGGAAUCUCAUUGAAGCUACAAAAGAGGAGGAACUCGUGUUCCACGUUGACUUCUAUCCCUAUGUUUCCUCCAUAAGGAGUACAUAGGUCGAGGUCAAUUAGGAAACUCUAAAUAUGCUCUUCGCUCUUGGUUUAGGAAUAAAAUUGUUGGAUUUCCCACUCUGAGAUGAAGCGGAUUCAAAAAAGAUGGCUUGUGGAAUCUCGUUGAAGCUACAAAAGAGGAGGAGCAUGUGUCCUGUAUUGACUUCGAUUUCAAUAUUUCUACCACUAGGACUAUGCAUAUCGAGGUCGAUUAGGAAACCCAAGAUGUGCUCGUCAGUCUUGGUAUGGAUGAAUUCCCAAAUUCAGCAGAUUGAUUUUGUUCUCCUUCAACAAAUCCCAUCCAGUCGUAGUGGCGACGACGACAU